Molecule: ribosomal RNA, 480 nt
Filed under: Lactiplantibacillus plantarum
Lineage: Bacteria; Bacillati; Bacillota; Bacilli; Lactobacillales; Lactobacillaceae
Description: bacterial SSU rRNA
Rfam family: Bacterial small subunit ribosomal RNA
Source: RNAcentral
ACUCUGAGUAUUGAUUGGUGCUUGCAUCAUGAUUUACAUUUGAGUGAGUGGCGAACUGGUGAGUAACACGUGGGAAACCUGCCCAGAAGCGGGGGAUAACACCUGGAAACAGAUGCUAAUACCGCAUAACAACUUGGACCGCAUGGUCCGAGUUUGAAAGAUGGCUUCGGCUAUCACUUUUGGAUGGUCCCGCGGCGUAUUAGCUAGAUGGUGGGGUAACGGCUCACCAUGGCAAUGAUACGUAGCCGACCUGAGAGGGUAAUCGGCCACAUUGGGACUGAGACACGGCCCAAACUCCUACGGGAGGCAGCAGUAGGGAAUCUUCCACAAUGGACGAAAGUCUGAUGGAGCAACGCCGCGUGAGUGAAGAAGGGUUUCGGCUCGUAAAACUCUGUUGUUAAAGAAGAACAUAUCUGAGAGUAACUGUUCAGGUAUUGACGGUAUUUAACCAGAAAGCCACGGCUAACUACGUGCCAGCAC